GGGUGUAGCUCAGCGGUACAGUGCUUGCCUACCAUGUGCAGGACCCUGGGUUUGAUCCCCAGCACCACA
This 69-nucleotide transfer RNA is filed under the name Marmota monax (woodchuck). Its description in RNAcentral is "tRNA.Gly". The record is from RNAcentral. Lineage: Eukaryota; Metazoa; Chordata; Mammalia; Rodentia; Sciuridae.